AGAAAGAACGCUGGCGGCAUGCCUAACACAUGCAAGUUGAACGGAUAAAAUUUCUAGCUUGCUAGAGAUUUUAUUAGUGGCAGACGGGUGAGUAACACGUAGGAAUCUGCCCUGUAGUACGGAACAACAAUUGGAAACGAUUGCUAAUACCGUAUACGCUCGAAAGAGGAAAGAUUAAUCGCUAUAGGAUGAGCCUGCGGUAGAUUAGGUAGUUGGUGGGGUAAUGGCCUACCAAGCCUAUGAUCUAUAGCUGGUCUGAGAGGACGAUCAGCCACACUGGAACUGAGAUACGGUCCAGACUCCUACGGGAGGCAGCAGUGGGGAAUAUUGGACAAUGGGCGCAAGCCUGAUCCAGCAAUGUCGCGUGAAUGAUGAAGGCCUUAGGGUUGUAAAGUUCUUUCGGUCGGGGAAGAAAUUGACGGUACCCGCAGAAGAAGCUCCGGCUAACUCCGUGCCAGCAGCCGCGGUAA
This 470-nucleotide ribosomal RNA is filed under the name uncultured bacterium. Its description in RNAcentral is "SSU rRNA". It matches the Rfam family "Bacterial small subunit ribosomal RNA", at positions 26 to 523 of the family's 1533-position model. The record is from RNAcentral.